CUCAGAGUGAACGCUGGCGGUAGGCCUAACACAUGCAAGUCGAACGGCAGCACAGUAAGAGCUUGCUCUUAUGGGUGGCGAGUGGCGGACGGGUGAGGAAUACAUCGGAAUCUACCUUUUCGUGGGGGAUAACGUAGGGAAACUUACGCUAAUACCGCAUACGACCUUCGGGUGAAAGCAGGGGACCUUCGGGCCUUGCGCGGAUAGAUGAGCCGAUGUCGGAUUAGCUAGUUGGCGGGGUAAAGGCCCACCAAGGCGACGAUCCGUAGCUGGUCUGAGAGGAUGAUCAGCCACACUGGAACUGAGACACGGUCCAGACUCCUACGGGAGGCAGCAGUGGGGAAUAUUGGACAAUGGGCGCAAGCCUGAUCCAGCCAUACCGCGUGGGUGAAGAAGGCCUUCGGGUUGUAAAGCCCUUUUGUUGGGAAAGAAAAGCAGUCGAUUAAUACUCGGUUGUUCUGACGGUACCCAAAGAAUAAGCACCGGCUAACUUCGUGCCAGCAGCCGCGGUAAUACGAAGGGUGCAAGCGUUACUCGGAAUUACUGGGCGUAAAGCGUGCGUAGGUGGUUGUUUAAGUCUGUUGUGAAAGCCCUGGGCUCAACCUGGGAAUUGCAGUGGAUACUGGACGACUAGAGUGUGGUAGAGGGUAGUGGAAUUCCCGGUGUAGCAGUGAAAUGCGUAGAGAUCGGGAGGAACAUCCAUGGCGAAGGCAGCUA
This 717-nucleotide ribosomal RNA is filed under the name Stenotrophomonas sp. Its description in RNAcentral is "bacterial SSU rRNA". It matches the Rfam family "Bacterial small subunit ribosomal RNA", at positions 23 to 727 of the family's 1533-position model. Lineage: Bacteria; Pseudomonadati; Pseudomonadota; Gammaproteobacteria; Lysobacterales; Lysobacteraceae. The record is from RNAcentral.